Molecule: ribosomal RNA, 756 nt
Filed under: Lacticaseibacillus zeae
Lineage: Bacteria; Bacillati; Bacillota; Bacilli; Lactobacillales; Lactobacillaceae
Description: bacterial SSU rRNA
Rfam family: Bacterial small subunit ribosomal RNA
Source: RNAcentral
GCGGCGUGCUAAUACAUGCAAGUCGAACGAGUUUUGGUCGAUGAACGGUGCUUGCAUUGUGAUUCAACUUAAAACGAGUGGCGGACGGGUGAGUAACACGUGGGUAACCUGCCCUUAAGUGGGGGAUAACAUUUGGAAACAGAUGCUAAUACCGCAUAAAUCCAAGAACCGCAUGGUUCUUGGCUGAAAGAUGGCGCAAGCUAUCGCUUUUGGAUGGACCCGCGGCGUAUUAGCUAGUUGGUGAGGUAACGGCUCACCAAGGCGAUGAUACGUAGCCGAACUGAGAGGUUGAUCGGCCACAUUGGGACUGAGACACGGCCCAAACUCCUACGGGAGGCAGCAGUAGGGAAUCUUCCACAAUGGACGCAAGUCUGAUGGAGCAACGCCGCGUGAGUGAAGAAGGCUUUCGGGUCGUAAAACUCUGUUGUUGGAGAAGAAUGGUCGGCAGAGUAACUGUUGUCGGCGUGACGGUAUCCAACCAGAAAGCCACGGCUAACUACGUGCCAGCAGCCGCGGUAAUACGUAGGUGGCAAGCGUUAUCCGGAUUUAUUGGGCGUAAAGCGAGCGCAGGCGGUUUUUUAAGUCUGAUGUGAAAGCCCUCGGCUUAACCGAGGAAGCGCAUCGGAAACUGGGAAACUUGAGUGCAGAAGAGGACAGUGGAACUCCAUGUGUAGCGGUGAAAUGCGUAGAUAUAUGGAAGAACACCAGUGGCGAAGGCGGCUGUCUGGUCUGUAACUGACGCUGAGGCUCGAAAGC